AUUUCUUCAGUGAGUUCUACUGCGAUUAUGUCAGACGCGGAAGAACAGUGGCCCGGUUUUGGGUAUUCCCGGGUACAAGACGAGAUGGCUUUAAACGAAGAAGAAGAAGGAGGCCAGAGGAACUUGGUGAAGAGUCGUGAAGAAAAUGAAGAUUCAGGAUGGGAGUCAAGAUAAAUGUAGACACCUCUGUGGCCUUUUCAAAAAGACAACCUUGACUUUUCAUCCGAUCAGUUGUUUGUAGUGGUGAAGUGCUCCACUUCUCGUUUUUUAAGAACUUCUCUUUAAUUAGUUGGCGGCGCUCCUCUUUUCAGUACUGUAGAAAUAUCCUCGUUGAUUCUUAGCUAUUAUCGUGUAGCAAUGAGAUUUUUGAUUAAUUCUUGGGGAUAUUUUCUUCCC
This is a long non-coding RNA of Bolinopsis microptera, 396 nucleotides long. RefSeq lists it as uncharacterized. The record is from RefSeq and is a predicted model, not a curated record. The transcript is spliced from 3 exons. NCBI's taxonomy places the organism in Eukaryota, Metazoa, Ctenophora, Tentaculata, Lobata, Bolinopsidae.